GAUGAACGCUGGCGGCGUGCCUAAUACAUGCAAGUCGAGCGAACAGACGAGGAGCUUGCUCCUCUGACGUUAGCGGCGGACGGGUGAGUAACACGUGGAUAACCUACCUAUAAGACUGGGAUAACUUCGGGAAACCGGAGCUAAUACCGGAUAAUAUAUUGAACCGCAUGGUUCAAUAGUGAAAGACGGUUUUGCUGUCACUUAUAGAUGGAUCCGCGCCGCAUUAGCUAGUUGGUAAGGUAACGGCUUACCAAGGCAACGAUGCGUAGCCGACCUGAGAGGGUGAUCGGCCAGACGGGAAGUGAGACAGGGCCCAGACUCCUACGGGAGGCAGCAGUAGGGAAUCUUACGCAAGGGGCGAAAGCCGGAUGGUGCAAAGCCGGGUGAGUGAUGAAGGUCUCAGGAUGGGAAAACGCUGUUAGUCGGGAAGAACAAAUGUGUUUUUAACUAUGCACGUCUUGACGGUACCUAAUGAGAAAGCCCCGGCUAACUACGUG
RNAcentral lists this ribosomal RNA (497 nucleotides) under uncultured bacterium. RNAcentral describes it as "partial 16S ribosomal RNA". It matches the Rfam family "Bacterial small subunit ribosomal RNA", at positions 28 to 507 of the family's 1533-position model. The record is from RNAcentral.